GAUGAACGCUGGCGGCGUGCCUAAUACAUGCAAGUCGAGCGAACAGACGAGGAGCUUGCUCCUCUGACGUUAGCGGCGGACGGGUGAGUAACACGUGGAUAACCUACCUAUAAGACUGGGAUAACUUCGGGAAACCGGAGCUAAUCCCGGAUAAUAUAUUGAACCGCAUGGUUCAAUAGUGAAAGACGGUUUUGCUGUCACUUAUAGAUGGAUCCGCGCCGCAUUAGCUAGUUGGUAAGGUAACGUCUUACCAAGGCAACGAUGCGUAGCCGACCUGUGAGGGUGAUCGGCCACACUGGAAGUGAGACACGGUCCAGGCUCCUGCGGGAGGCAGCAGUAGGGAAUCUGCCGCAAUGGGCGAAAGCCUGACGGAACAACGCCGCGUGAGUGAUGAAGGUCUUCGGAUCGUAAAACUCUGUUAUUAGGGAAGAACAAAUGUGUAAGUAACUAUGCACGUCUUGACGGUACCUAAUCAGAAAGCCACGGCUAACUACGUG
This 497-nucleotide ribosomal RNA is filed under the name uncultured bacterium. RNAcentral describes it as "partial 16S ribosomal RNA". It matches the Rfam family "Bacterial small subunit ribosomal RNA", at positions 28 to 507 of the family's 1533-position model. The record is from RNAcentral.